Molecule: ribosomal RNA, 254 nt
Filed under: uncultured bacterium
Lineage: Bacteria
Description: partial 16S ribosomal RNA
Rfam family: Bacterial small subunit ribosomal RNA
Source: RNAcentral
UACGUAGGGAGCAAGCGUUGUUCGGAUUUACUGGGCGUAAAGGGCGCGUAGGCGGCGCGGUAAGUCACUUGUGAAAUCUCUGAGCUUAACUCAGAACGGCCAAGUGAUACUGCAGUGCUAGAGCGCAGAAGGGGCAAUCGGAAUUCUUGGUGUAGCGGUGAAAUGCGUAGAUAUCGGGAGGAACACCAGUGGCGAAGGCGACUACCUGGCCUGUUUCUUGACGCUGAGGCGCGAAAGCUAGGGGAGCAAACGGG